CACAGUUGGAAUUGGGAACUACACAUGGGCACAGCUUACAGGUGGAAUGAUGACUCACACCUGAAGAUAUUUUGACCUUUGUAGUCUUAGGGCAAAAACUAAGGUCCUGUGUCUUCAACUUGUAGGAUGGUCACGGAAUAUUACAACUUGCAUGCACGUUGAAUGAAGCCCUCAAAUGCUACAAAGAGUGCCAAAAUAGAGCCCAGCUAAAACUGUGGUAAAACUGUGGCUGUUGUAUGCAAACUCAAAUAAAAGUAAGGAUUAUCAGCCUUCCACAUUAACAGAACCCACUGUUGAGGUUCUGAAUCGCUCACCAAGAGGCAAUCAAGUUGGAAUUGUGACUCUCAUGCAUCAAUCCAAUCGACAGAUGAGAUGAUAACACCAAGUCCAGGAUUUAGAACACCUGGGGGCUGUGCUUCCCCUAUCAAAACACAGUCUGUUGGUGAGAUUUGGGCUCUCGUGCAUUGAUUUAGUCCACUGUUGUGACUGACUUGCAUAGUUGAACUCAAACCCACAAGAGGUGUUGACUCUUAUACCUUUAGCAGGAAAAUGUCCCGGAUUGUGAAUUUCUGCUAUUGACCGGGUCCAGCUGGAUCCAGGUAUGAGAGUCAUCAUCUCACCUGUGAGCUGUGACCAUGUAUAUGUCGCAAUUUCACCUGUCAUCAGGAAGCAGACAUGAGAGUCCUAUCACCUGGGUGCUGGACGAAGUUUCGCUCUUGUUUCCCAGGCCGGAGCACAAUGGUGUGAUCUCGACUCACUGCAACCUCCGCCUCCCGGAUUCAAGCGAUUCUCCUGCCUCAGCCUGCCGAGUAGCUGGGAUUACAGAUGAAAAAAGAUGCAAAGAAGACAUAUUUGCUUUUUAUCCACACAUCAUUUCCAAUCACUAUGCUGAGCAAAGUCAAUGUGAGCAGAGCUGAGAAUAGCAGUUUUCUGGCAGGACGGCCACUUCUGAGCAAAAAAUGACACAAUAAAAGUAUAAAUAUUUAAUAGUAAGCUAAUAUAUUUUCAGCAAAUUAAGCAUAUGCAUUAAUAAAAUUAUUGUGGUAUAAU
This 1050-nucleotide long non-coding RNA is filed under the name Homo sapiens (human). RNAcentral's name for it is "HSALNT0340995". Lineage: Eukaryota; Metazoa; Chordata; Mammalia; Primates; Hominidae. The record is from RNAcentral.